This 551-nucleotide ribosomal RNA is filed under the name uncultured bacterium. Its description in RNAcentral is "bacterial SSU rRNA". It matches the Rfam family "Bacterial small subunit ribosomal RNA", at positions 355 to 896 of the family's 1533-position model. The record is from RNAcentral.
UAGGGAAUCUUCGGCAAUGGACGGAAGUCUGACCGAGCAACGCCGCGUGAGUGAAGAAGGUUUUCGGAUCGUAAAGCUCUGUUGUAAGAGAAGAACGAGUGUGAGAGUGGAAAGUUCACACUGUGACGGUAUCUUACCAGAAAGGGACGGCUAACUACGUGCCAGCAGCCGCGGUAAUACGUAGGUCCCGAGCGUUGUCCGGAUUUAUUGGGCGUAAAGCGAGCGCAGGCGGUUAGAUAAGUCUGAAGUUAAAGGCUGUGGCUUAACCAUAGUAGGCUUUGGAAACUGUUUAACUUGAGUGCAAGAGGGGAGAGUGGAAUUCCAUGUGUAGUGGUGAAAUGCGUAGAUAUAUGGAGGAACACCGGUGGCGAAAGCGGCUCUCUGGCUUGUAACUGACGCUGAGGCUCGAAAGCGUGGGGAGCAAACAGGAUUAGAUACCCUGGUAGUCCACGCUGUAAACGAUGAGUGCUANGUGUUAGACCCUUUCCGGGGUUUAGUGCCGUAGCUAACGCAUUAAGCACUCCGCCCUGGGGAGUACGACCGCAAGGUUG